Molecule: long non-coding RNA, 360 nt
Filed under: Mytilus galloprovincialis (Mediterranean mussel)
Lineage: Eukaryota; Metazoa; Mollusca; Bivalvia; Mytilida; Mytilidae
Source: RNAcentral
AUAUUUGACUAGAUCUUACAAAGAUUUAUAUUUUUAUUAAAAUAAUUGUUUCUCCAAUAGCUCUUUGCAUCUGUGACAGCUGUUUAUUCGGGACAAUUAUAUAAUUUUUAAUGUAAACUUUGUUGUACGAACGUACAUGACUUUAGAACGCACCUACGCAUGUGAGAUUUCCGCGGGGUUUUGGUGAAUGUAAACAGAAAGAUACGAGGACCGAGAAUACUGAACACAAACAGAGAAAACGUUAUUUAAAUGGUAUCUUUGUGCUUCUGAAGGUUAUCGAAAUGAUAGUUUUAAACAUAUACUCAAAUUUAAAUACGUCGGAUAUCUUUUUUAAAGAUAGUUCUUGUUAUUAUUAUUGCC